UGGAGAUUGCUCCUUGUGGAGUUUACUGUGAGCCUAUGAUACUGAUUAUCUCUCUGUACAAGGAUUUGACAACAAGAUACAAGAUCUCUUGAUUCAGAAAAGGAAAAAGUCAAGUAAAUGCUUUUAUAAAGAAACUGGCAGUUACAACAAUAGAAAGAGUGAAGAAAAGGAUUACAAAAGCUGCUGGUCUAGAAUCUCAGUGAUUGCUAAACAGCAUACAGAACAGCUUGAGAAUGACAGUGUGUAGGCAUAUAAAUAUAGACUUUUCUCUCCUGUGGAUGUGUAUGCCAGGAUGGUAUCUAUAUUCUGCAACCUGUGCCUUUCUUGUAGCAGUUAAUGGAUGUUUAAUCUCACCAAAAUGUGGGGGGGAAAAAGUGGAAAAUCAAAUAAAACUAUGUUAAACUAAAAACAAAAGACAGACACCUUCUUUAUUCAAGCAGUAGCAAAUAGGACAUAAGAUUCCUGUUCCUCUCUAGGAGGCCAGUGGGGUACCUGUAAUGAGCUUGGCUGCAUAUUUUGUGUAACUUACAAUGGAGCAUGACUAGUCUGGAAGCAGCAAAAAAUCCAAAUGCACAGCAUUGUAUGAUAUAUGAGACAAAUACUUUAGUAUAGCAAGUUGCAUUGUGAAGGCGGAAAGAAAUUAACCCAUAUGUAUUGUACUCUUAAAAGGGAUAGUACAGCAAUAAAACAUAAGUUUCUAAACUACAAUUCUCUAAAUUAGCUCUAUUGUAAUGCCUUAAAUUAGAACUUAUCACAAAGGUUUCAUCUGUCUCCCCCAGCAGAAUGCUUCCAUUGGAGAAUGAGCAAUCUUUCCCCAGAAGGACCAAUUCUGGUUUUCAGUAUCAAAAGGCACCACGCACAUCUAAGAACAGACCUAGACAAUUUCUACAGUCACAAAGGACUUCAUAGCUUUGGGAAAUGGUAUGUUACAGUGCUGAUCUUGGUAAUACAGCCAAUAAAGUGUUUGU
Molecule: non-coding RNA, 968 nt
Organism: Meleagris gallopavo (turkey)
Lineage: Eukaryota; Metazoa; Chordata; Aves; Galliformes; Phasianidae
Source: RefSeq, a predicted model, not a curated record